GAAGAUGUGCCUUCUGAUAUAAUGAACAUAGUUCAGGGGAUUAGUCGUAGAACUUCUAAAGGGCUUGCAAACCAGAGCCAGGCUGAUAAGUCUUCAAGAGAAAAAGAAAAUGCAGCCGGCUUGAGAGUCAAAAAGAUCAUGAGGAGAGCUACAGAAGACAAUGAAUCAUCUGUUGUUGUUCAAAAACUUAGAACAGAAAUAAGAGAAGCUGUGCGUAAUAAUGCAGAUAUUGGGGAACACCUUUUUGAUCCAAAGCUUCUUACUGCAUUCCGUACUGCCGUAGCAGAACGUACAACUGAAGUUGUUGAGAAAUUACCCCCUUCUGCUCUGAAGGCAAAGAAGUCUAUACUGCAGAAAGGUAAAAUUCGUGAGAAUCUGACCAAGAAAAUAUAUGGAAAUUCUAAUGGUAGGCGAAGACGUGCAUGGGAUCGGGACUGUGAAGUUGAAUUUUGGAAGCAUCGCUGCACAAAGCCCGAAAAGAUUGCAACUUUGAAGUCAGUUCUUAACCUCCUGAGAAAGAACCCAGAAGGCUCAGAAAUGGAGCAUGUGUCCGAGAGUCGGGCAACAAAUCCCAUUCUCUCCAGAUUGUAUUUAGCAGAUACAUCUGUUUUUCCAAGAAAGGACAAUAUAAAACCUCUCUCAGCUCUUACAGUUACAAAUAAUUCUGAACAGAAUAAAGGACAGCUCAAUUCAAUGGAAAAAGGUCAGAAUCCAUCUCUUGAUGAUUGUUCACAUAAAAGAAAAGAAGCAAAUAAAGUUUCUUCAAAGUUUGCUGUUCCUUCAGUUCAUGAUAAUGGGUCUAAGGAUAAAGUUCCAAAUUCAAAGGGUAAAGCUGCUUCUAGCAAACCACAUCCAAACAAAGCCCCACAGGGAAGCUUGCGGGCUUGUUUAGGUGGUUCUAAAGUCAAUUCACAUAAGGGAACAGAUGUUCAAUCUGAUGAUAAAAAAAUUGACAAAAGAAAAUGGGCUAUGGAGGUACUUGCAAGAAAAAAGGCUGCUUCACUUACGAAUACAAUGCAAGGAGAACAAGAAGACAAUGCUAUACUUAAAGGAAAUUACCCCUUACUAGUAUGCAUUUUACUUUCUCCUUAAUAGAUGUAGAUGUUUGAUUUAGUAAAUACAUUCUGCAAAUUGAUGUUAAUACAUGCUUUUUACCUUUUCCUGGCUUAUGUGAGCAGGCUCAACUCCCAAUAAACAUGAGACCAGUAUUGGCACCCAGUCGCCAUAAUAAAAUUCCCAUAUCAGUUAGGCAGGUAAGUAAUGCUUGUGCAUGACCAGGCGUCGCCGAUGAUAUGCAUCCUUAAGUCAUGCUUUACUGCUUUAGGUUGCUUUUUAUGGAAAAAGGAAAAGUAGAGGGCCCAGAAUAGCUGACCUUCUGCUUUAACUUAAAAUAACAAUUAGAAAGAGAGACCACAUGUUAGUAGGCCACCUUAUUCAUUCACGAGUCUACUGUUGCUUAAACACCACCUACAUCAUCAGCAAUGCCAUGCUUAUCCACAAUUCUAGCUUUUCUAUCACUAAGACUUGUGUUGCCACUGGUUGCUGACCGUUCCUCUCCCAAUCUCUUUAAUAUUAUCGAAUUCAGAUCAGGGAUAGAAUUGGCAAAUUCUGAAUAAUUUGGUCAUUACUUAAAUUACUGGAGAAUCAGGCUAACUCCUGCAUAUAACUUUUAAGCUCAAUGGAAAUAGUUUCCAUACCCUUCCAGACUAAGUAUGAA
This 1717-nucleotide long non-coding RNA is filed under the name Jatropha curcas. Its description in RNAcentral is "long non-coding RNA (JCUR_LNC002845)". Lineage: Eukaryota; Viridiplantae; Streptophyta; Magnoliopsida; Malpighiales; Euphorbiaceae. The record is from RNAcentral.